Molecule: ribosomal RNA, 253 nt
Filed under: uncultured bacterium
Lineage: Bacteria
Description: partial 16S ribosomal RNA
Rfam family: Bacterial small subunit ribosomal RNA
Source: RNAcentral
UACGUAGGGUGCAAGCGUUAAUCGGAAUUACUGGGCGUAAAGCGUGCGCAGGCGGUUGUGCAAGACAGGUGUGAAAUCCCCGGGCUUAACCUGGGAACUGCACUUGUGACUGCAUCGCUGGAGUGCGGCAGAGGGGGAUGGAAUUCCGCGUGUAGCAGUGAAAUGCGUAGAUAUGCGGAGGAACACCGAUGGCGAAGGCAAUCCCCUGGGCCUGCACUGACGCUCAUGCACGAAAGCGUGGGGAGCAAACAGG